UACGUAGGGGGCUAGCGUUGUUCGGAUUUACUGGGCGUAAAGCGCACGUAGGCGGAUUGUUAAGUCAGGGGUGAAAUCCCGGAGCUCAACUCCGGAACUGCCUUUGAUACUGGCAAUCUUGAGGCUGGAAGAGGUUAGUGGAAUUCCCAGUGUAGAGGUGAAAUUCGUAGAUAUUGGGAAGAACACCAGUGGCGAAGGCGGCUAACUGGUCCAGAUCUGACGCUGAGGUGCGAAAGCGUGGGGAGCAAACAGG
Molecule: ribosomal RNA, 253 nt
Filed under: uncultured bacterium
Lineage: Bacteria
Description: partial 16S ribosomal RNA
Rfam family: Bacterial small subunit ribosomal RNA
Source: RNAcentral